UACGUAGGGCGCAAGCGUUGUCCGGAAUUAUUGGGCGUAAAGAGCUCGUAGGCGGCUUGUCACGUCGAUUGUGAAAGCCCGAGGCUUAACCUCGGGUCUGCAGUCGAUACGGGCUAGCUAGAGUGUGGUAGGGGAGAUCGGAAUUCCUGGUGUAGCGGUGAAAUGCGCAGAUAUCAGGAGGAACACCGGUGGCGAAGGCGGAUCUCUGGGCCAUUACUGACGCUGAGGCACGAAAGCGUGGGGAGCAAACAGG
RNAcentral lists this ribosomal RNA (253 nucleotides) under uncultured bacterium. RNAcentral's name for it is "partial 16S ribosomal RNA". It matches the Rfam family "Bacterial small subunit ribosomal RNA", at positions 524 to 776 of the family's 1533-position model. The record is from RNAcentral.